CACAUAAAAAGGUAAUAUAUUCCGAACUGACAUUGGUCGCCAAAUUGUCAAAACAUGACAAUUUGGCGACCAAUGUCAGCUACCGAAUUCUUAAUUGCUUCAAAUUACCGACGAAAAACGCACAAAAACCGAAAAACCACGCACACCACUAAUUUUUCAAGAAUUAUCGACCAUUUUCCGAGAAGAAACACGAAGAAAUUGUUUUUAUUUCAAUUUAUAAUUUUUUCAAAUGACAUUUUAUAAAUUAAAACAAAAACAAAUUUCCUGUUUACUGCGAUUGAAAUAUAAAAAUUAAAGGCCGACCUGACAGAUUGGUGCCCAUUUUUCACAAACAAAUUUUGACAACGUUCGGAAUAUAUUACCUUAUUAUGUGUACUGUGAUUAGUCUCCAAGCUGGCGCAGACGGUCCUUCCAAGUUCCAAUCCUCAGCAGCAUAAACCCAACAGCAAGCCAAAUGAUAAGAAAUUAAAAGCGCGCGGAAAGUUCUCAGACAUGAAUCCAAAAGGUUUAUUCUUCUUUUUAGAUUUAUUAAUUUGUAUUUCUCUUGAUAACAUUUCCUUAUUUCUUUGUAAAAAAAAAACUAAAAGUUAAAAUUUCCUACUGCUGUGAUGAUCUAUGCCUAUCCUGAGAUAAUGUUUGAGGAAAAUUGCUCUCUUGUAAGAAACACAAAUGGACUUUAUCACUGCAAUCUCAGGUUAAUGUCAAUUUGGAAGUAAUUGUAUUGCAGUUCCUGCAUUGAAUAGAACUAGAAUAGAACCUUGCAGAUUUCAUUUUGGGUGUCGUCAUCAAAAUAAGCUAAAAUUCCACAAAGGUGAUUUUGUCCAUCAUGCAACCAAGUCUGCGACAAAUUGCCAAAAUUUUAUAUUCAGCUUGUUGUCAUUCUGCUCUUUUCCUUUCAAAAAUAACUCUAGUAAUAUUUUUGAAUACAAGUUUGAUAAUUAUAAGAUCAAACAAUUACCACGUCCAAAAUGUGAAAAGAAAGUACCUAAUGGCUGCCUGUAUUGCCGAAUGGCCAUGUUGGAAUUCCAAACCAACUUCAUGC
Long non-coding RNA from Episyrphus balteatus (marmalade hoverfly), 1042 nucleotides. RefSeq lists it as uncharacterized. Lineage: Eukaryota; Metazoa; Arthropoda; Insecta; Diptera; Syrphidae. The record is from RefSeq and is a predicted model, not a curated record. The transcript is spliced from 3 exons.